Molecule: unclassified non-coding RNA, 290 nt
Filed under: Ascomycota sp.
Lineage: Eukaryota; Fungi; Ascomycota
Description: partial contains small subunit ribosomal RNA, internal transcribed spacer 1, and 5.8S ribosomal RNA
Rfam family: Eukaryotic small subunit ribosomal RNA (bases 1-47)
Source: RNAcentral
AAAGUCGUAACAAGGUCUCCGUAGGUGAACCUGCGGAGGGAUCAUUAACACGUUUAUAAAUCCAUUAAACACCGCGAACUCGUACGUUCUGACAGAGUGGUCAAGGGUGGGCGUGUCGACCCUGGGCUCAACCCAGAUGUAUCAGAUGCCCUGCUUGCGAUCACGGCUGUUACCCUGUAUUUUUUACCCCACAAAAACAUCAGUCCCAGAAACAUUUGGGUAGCUCUAACGGGCGCUCAAAUUAAAAACAAACAUACGUACAACUCUUGGCAACGGAUAUCUUGGUUCUC